AGUCGUUGAAAAUGAAGUGCGUAUGUAGUACGGAGUAUUAGAGGUAUAAGAAGGUGAUGAUGAUAAACCGCGUGGACUACUUUCUUUCUGCCGCUCUCUUCUUUCUUCAACAUCUCUCUCUCUCUCUCUCCCACUGCAUCCGUGGACCCAUCGAUUGAACGGAACUCCAAACUAAACCGCAAAUUCAGCAUCGGAUGGUUGUCGUUGAGGAUCAAUUAGCAUUAUAGCAUAUUCCCAUUUCCCGCCGCGUUUCCCUUUCUGGGUUUUUCAUUCUUCAUCACAAUCAUAUUUCACAGAGAAAGGGUAAUGAUGUACUGAUUCCCCAAGAUUGCAUGAAUCAAGUGGUGGGUUCUCGAACCACACCUGGUGGCCAAUCAUGACAUCAGACACAAAUACUCCAAGUUACUGGUUGAACUGGAGAUUCCUAGUCUGUGCCAUAUGGGUGUUUGCAGCUAUGGUGGUUUCUGCGCUGAUAGUUUGGAGGUAUGAAGGCUCACCAAAAUCAAGAAAUCAGCAGAGGGAGGAUUUGCAAGAAAAAAUAGGGACUUUGCACAAGGAUGAAGUUUGGAACACAUGUCACAAAUCCAUCCAUCCUGUUUGUCUACUUACUUACAGGAUACUUGCUUUUCUGGUGCUUCUUGCAUUGCUCACUGCAGAUGCUGUCGUCCAUGGUGGUGGCAUUUUUUACUAUUACACUCAGUGGACAUUCACUCUGGUGACCAUCUACUUUGGGCUAGGAUCUGUGCUAUCCAUGUACGGGUUGAAAUCUCGUAAAGAAAUCUCGGCUGAGAGGGUUAACUUUGUAAGUUCAGAUCCCGAGAGAGGCGCUUACGUAGCUCCUGCACUUGGGGAUAAUGCAAGUGCGCCUUGCAUACCCAGUAGCUUGAAUCCCCAAGAUGAACCACCUCUUCUGGAUGCUGCAGGCUUUUGGGACUAUGCCUUGCAAAUCAUUUUCCAGAUGUGUGCAGGGGCAGUGGUUCUUACGGACUUUGUUUAUUGGCUCAUAAUUUACCCAUUUCUCACUACCAAUGAUUACAAGUUAAAUUUUCUGGUCAUUUGCAUGCAUUCUGUAAAUGCUGUUUGCCUUUUGGGCGAUGUCAUGUUAAAUCGCCUCCGAUUCCCUUUCUUCCGAAUUGCAUAUUUCAUCCUUUGGACAUGCGUAUUUGUCACUUUCCAGUGGAUCAUCCAUAUGUGCGUUUCACUAUGGUGGCCUUAUUCAUUUCUUGAUUUGUCAUCUCAAUAUGCUCCCUUAUGGUAUUUCGGAGUUGGGGCUCUUCAUGUUCCGUGCUAUGUUAUCUUCGCACUUAUCAUAAAAAUGAAGAAGUAUUUCUUGUCGAGAUUUGUCCAGACUCCUUAGGAAUAUAAGGCUGAGAAAGAUGGGAAGGCUAUGAAAUAUGAUUCUUAGUCCAAAUAGAUUAUCACUGUACUUGAUUUUCAGAAGUAUUUUGGUGAUAAUAUAGUCCCAUAAAAGGAAUAUAUGAAUUGUUCAUUUGCAAAUUGUGGGACAUUUGAUGCACAAAGCUUUGUUACCUGAAACUGGCAAAAAGUUGAAAACAUGGCAGAAAUUUAGCAUCAAAUUCAGAUUCUGGUUCGUCUUUAUAUGAAUGAUUUGCCCACUUGGUAGAAUGUUUGUUUUGAGAUUUAAGAACACUUACAUAUAUUAAGGAAAACAAUAUGGCUGUGCACACCUUUGUUUA
Ipomoea nil (Japanese morning glory) is the source of this 1697-nucleotide RNA transcript. RefSeq lists it as uncharacterized. NCBI's taxonomy places the organism in Eukaryota, Viridiplantae, Streptophyta, Magnoliopsida, Solanales, Convolvulaceae. The transcript is spliced from 10 exons. The record is from RefSeq and is a predicted model, not a curated record.